UUCGGGGACAUUGGUUACAGGUGGUGCAUGGUUGUCGUCCGCUCGUGUCGUGAGAUGUUGGGUUAAGUGCCCCAACGACCGCAACCCUUGUCUUUAGUUGCCAUCAUUAAGUUGGGCACUCUAGAGAGACUGCCAGGGAUAACCUGGAGGAAGGUGGGGAUGACGUCAAAUCAUCAUGCCCCUUAUGCUUAGGGCUACACACGUGCUACAAUGGGUAGUACAGAGGGUUGCCAAGCCGUAAGGUGGAGCUAAUCCCUUAAAGCUACUCUCAGUUCGGAUUGUAGGCUGAAACUCGCCUACAUGAAGCUGGAGUUACUAGUAAUCGCAGAUCAGAAUGCUGCGGUGAAUGCGUUCCCGGGUCUUGUACACACCGCCCGUCACACCACGGGAGUUGGAGACGCCCGAAGCCGAUUAUCUAACCUUGUGGAAGAAGUCGUCGAAGGUGGAAUCAAUAACUGGGGUGAAGUCGUAACAAGGUAGCCGUAUCGGAAGGUGCGGCUGGAUCACCUCCUUUCUAAGGA
RNAcentral lists this ribosomal RNA (521 nucleotides) under Clostridioides difficile. RNAcentral's name for it is "bacterial SSU rRNA". It matches the Rfam family "Bacterial small subunit ribosomal RNA", at positions 1018 to 1533 of the family's 1533-position model. Lineage: Bacteria; Bacillati; Bacillota; Clostridia; Peptostreptococcales; Peptostreptococcaceae. The record is from RNAcentral.